UACGUAGGGGGCGAGCGUUGUCCGGAUUUAUUGGGCGUAAAGGGCGUGUAGGCGGCCUGUUAAGUCGGGAGUGAAACCCCGGGGCUCAACCCCGGGCCUGCUUCCGAAACUGAUGGGCUUGAGUGCUCUAGAGGGCAGUGGAAUUCCCGGUGUAGCAGUGAAAUGCGUAGAGAUCGGGAGGAACACCAGUGGCGAAGGCGACUGCCUGGGGAGUAACUGACGCUGAGGCGCGAAAGCUAGGGGAGCAAACAGG
RNAcentral lists this ribosomal RNA (253 nucleotides) under uncultured bacterium. RNAcentral describes it as "partial 16S ribosomal RNA". It matches the Rfam family "Bacterial small subunit ribosomal RNA", at positions 524 to 776 of the family's 1533-position model. The record is from RNAcentral.